Molecule: transfer RNA, 76 nt
Filed under: Actinomycetota bacterium
Lineage: Bacteria; Bacillati; Actinomycetota
Description: Actinobacteria bacterium tRNA-Val
Rfam family: tRNA
About the family: Transfer RNA (tRNA) molecules are approximately 80 nucleotides in length. Their secondary structure includes four short double-helical elements and three loops (D, anti-codon, and T loops).
Source: RNAcentral
GUGGGCGUAGCUCAGCUGGUUAGAGCGCAGCCUUCACAUGGCUGAGGCCGAGGGUUCGAGUCCCCCAGCGCCCACU